AAAUUGAAGAGUUUGAUCAUGGCUCAGAUUGAACGCUGGCGGCAGGCCUAACACAUGCAAGUCGAACGGUAACAGAAAGCAGCUUGCUGCUUCGCUGACGAGUGGCGGACGGGUGAGUAAUGUCUGGGAAACUGCCUGAUGGAGGGGGAUAACUACUGGAAACGGUAGCUAAUACCGCAUAACGUCGCAAGACCAAAGAGGGGGACCUUCGGGCCUCUUG
RNAcentral lists this ribosomal RNA (220 nucleotides) under Escherichia coli. RNAcentral describes it as "partial 16S ribosomal RNA". It matches the Rfam family "Bacterial small subunit ribosomal RNA", at positions 1 to 217 of the family's 1533-position model. Lineage: Bacteria; Pseudomonadati; Pseudomonadota; Gammaproteobacteria; Enterobacterales; Enterobacteriaceae. The record is from RNAcentral.